CUCAGGGAGCUUCCAUUCUAAGAGGAGAGACAAUCUCUAUGCAUGUAGGUGGGGGGAGGACCUGUAGGGCUUUCUGCAGAAGGUGGCGCUCAAGGGAAUUCUUGAAGAAAAUGAAGGGUUACAGGAGACAGAGCUGAAGAGGAAAUGCAUCCCAAGCGUAGGGGUCAGCCAAUGCAAAGGCAAAGAGGUGGGAGAUUCAAUACUAUCAACUGAGCAACAAGCAUUGAUUAAGCGCCUAUGGUUUAUGACUCAGUUCUGGGUAUGCAAAGAGAAAAGGAGAUUACAGUCUAAUAGGAUUCUCACAAUGCCCUGGAUAAAGAACAUCAGGAAACUAGAAGAGCAUUUACCUGGACCAGAGUUCGUGGAGGAAGGAGUGUGUGAAGAGCUUUAGGUCUCAGGAUUUAGAUUGUAUCUUGGAUGGAAAAGGAAGCCACCACGGUUUACUGAGCAUCGCACAGGGCGUCCUUCUUUCUGCCACCUCCACUGCAGACUCUGUCCUCCCCUGCCGUCCCACAGUCGCCUUGCCUGGGGCUCUGCUGGAGGCAGCCACUUGUCAAACUGGACCAACGUAAGAGAAGGGUUGAGUGUGUUCAAGGAGCACACCCAGUCUGGCCUCAGACUCUCCUCCCCAUCCACUCUGAAUUUUCCUUGUGUGUGUGAGCCCCAGAGCCGUCAGGAACUCACCAAGAGGCUGCAGGAGAGAGGACAGCGGCCUUGGCUCCCAGCUCAGUCACUGCGGCCACGGAACCUGGAUGUUGGAUUCACAGGUGUGGCUCGGUGUCAAGAGGGAAGGUGGAUGCAGGAGUAAUUUUGCUAGAUCUGCUCUGUCUAAUUCCUGAAGCGGCGAUUCAAAAGAAGUUGCCGAUUAUCCAAGUUUCAAGCCCAGAAUAUUUGCUCAGUGGCUCAGCAUCUGUCUGGAGACAAAAAAGGAGGCGGUGGGCCAGACCUGCAGUCUGGAAGACCUGAGUGCAAGUCCUGACUGACAUUUUCUACCUUUGUGACCAUAAGGAAGUCAUACCUUCUCUGAGUCUCAGUUUUGUUGCCUGUAAAAUGGGGGUGAUAACUCUAGCAGCUACUUCACCAGGUGAUUGGGAAGCUCCAAGCAUGUGGAAGAGGCCUCAGACAAGCCUUUGUUCAACCUGUACCUGUCUCCAUGGACGUCUGCUUUAAGAUUGGGGUCUCCAUUCGGCCACUAAAGUGAUCUUCCUGAAACACAGAUUAGAUCAAGUCAUCUCCUCCUCAGUAAACCCUAGUGGCUUCCUAUUCCCUUGAGAAGCAAA
Molecule: non-coding RNA, 1280 nt
Organism: Phascolarctos cinereus (koala)
Lineage: Eukaryota; Metazoa; Chordata; Mammalia; Diprotodontia; Phascolarctidae
Source: RefSeq, a predicted model, not a curated record